Molecule: long non-coding RNA, 3471 nt
Filed under: Zalophus californianus (California sea lion)
Lineage: Eukaryota; Metazoa; Chordata; Mammalia; Carnivora; Otariidae
Description: lncRNA (ENSZCAG00015020824.1)
Source: RNAcentral
AUGAGGCUCAGCCCCGCCCAUCUCCGCCUCUUGUGCCGGCCUGGCCCCACCCCUCUAGCCCGGCCCUUCGGCCGCGCUCCGCCCCUCGGGUGGGCCACGCCCACGGCCCCAAGCCAGGUGCCUCCGCAAUCCCGGCUCCCGGCCCCGCCCUCUGCCCCGCCCACAGGCCUCGCAGUCGCCGCGGACGCCGUUCUUGCGCAUGGAGUCGCCAUUUUGCUCCUAGAGAAGCCGUCUGGAGAGCCGGCGCUUUCUUCCUUCGGCAGCCGAGGCUGCGGCGGGGCCGGGGCUGGGGUCGGGGCCAGAUGUUUGCUGUUUGACAAAUAUCACUGAGCCUCUUCGAUGUGCCAGGUACUAGGCUCUGGUUGUACAGCAGAGGACGUAAUGGUGAGAAAAAAAAUCUCUGCUGUCCCAGACCUUAAAUUCUGGUGGAGGAAGCUGAUUUUACCAAGCAUCUAUCUCUCUUGUCAGGAAGGGAGAGGCGCAGGCCUGACCAAGGGACCUACCCAAGGACUGGUAGCUAGGGACUGUGGAAGACAGACCCAAGACUUCACACUCCUACUCCAGCAUCUUUAGAUAGGAGGUGUUUGUACAGUGGGCUCUUUGGAGGGAAAGCAUCAUGCUCUAAUGCGAGCCUUCCUCAUCCAAAAUAUGGAGAAGUGGUUUUUAAAUGACUGCUGGCAACAUCCAAAGCAAGUGGUCUUUCAGUGUGGAUUCAUCCAUGAGACCUAAUAGGUUGUCAGAUCUCAUUCAAAGAGGAGUAGGAUUUGCUUUUUGAAAGGGGCCGAGAGUCUCUGAAAAGGGUGUGUAUUCAUACGUAUAAAUAAUUCUCACACAUUCUAGAGUAAAUUUAGGAUAAAUGUAAAAGCAACUGUAGUUUGUGGAUUCCAUUUCGCACUGAAGCUUUGUGCUAAUGAGCCUCCUGCCAGCCCCAUCCUGGUGAUUAUGUUUCUGAGGAUAAUCUUUUAAAACUCACUUUUCUUGAAGCUUGGUAAAGAGCACAACUUCCAUUUCCAGUAGGGAAAAGGAGAACCAAAGCUAGCAACAGCCCUUAGUUUUGAACAUCUUGUAGAAUGAAUGGUCACAGAACAUGACUGUAUCGAUAACCAAUUUCCACAUGGACUCCCCUUCUGGUGCCAUUUCUGAGGGUAGUCUCAGGUUAGGUUUCAGUUACAGAAACCUGAUACCUGAAGACCGGGACUUAAGUGGCCACAGUCAGUGGUGAAGGGCAUUUAAACUAUGACCAGUAAGGAAAGGUUCCAGGAAGUAGCUUGGAGGAGAGAAUAUACACAGAGCUAAGAGAGCCAUCUAGAGAUAGGUGGAGCACUGCCCUGCGGCAAAGGAAUUUGAUGUUUGCUGUAAAUUAUCAAGGGAAGGGCAAGGACCAGGGAGUGGCGACUGCAGGGAGAGGAAGUUCAGCAUAUUCUAAGAAGAGUUUGGAAUGGAUGGGCCCUCAGGAUGUGGGCAUCAGUCUCCGGAGCUCUUCAAGCGCCUGGAGUGGUUUCUUGGAGUCCUGUAGUUGGGCCGAUUGACCUCUAAGAGCUCUUUCUGCCCUCAGAUGCUUCUGAGUGUUCCAGGCCCUCUCAAGAACACUGUGGUACUUUAAGAAUCUUCUUAUUUGAAGAUUGGGGGGUAUAAAAAGAGGGCCACCCCAUGUGUAUUACUGUACUUGUUCCGGAGAAAACCAAAAUAUUAACAGUUGAUUCCUAUGUAGCUUCCAUUUACCAAGCAGAUCCUCUAUGUGGGACACUUUGUUAAGUGCUGUACAGAAAUUAAUUUUACAGCGACCCUGUAAGGGCCGUAUUCAUGUAUUGUAUGGGUGAGGGAACUGAGACUAAGAUUAGUUUAUGCAGGGCCUCUCAGGGAGCUAAGUAGGAGCCAAGAUGCAAACAUGAGUUUGACUCCAAAGCCUGUACUUCUAACUACAGGAAAAUGAGUUUCCUCUUCCAGACCUGUACCCUGUGUUCCUGAACACACGUAUAUUGGUUGAGAGACAGUGUCGGAAGAUACUUAAGAUCUCUUCCAACUUUGAGUAUUGCGAACGUUCUUUCAUGUAUACCAGCCACUCUGCCCCACACUAUGCCAUAAAGCAGGGGUCAGCCGACUUUCUGUAGAGGAUCAGAUAAUCAGCUCUUUUUCAGCUUUAUGGCCGGCACUCAACUCUAUCAUUGUAUCCAUAGACAGUUUGUAGGCAGUGAGUGUGGCUGUGUUCCGAUACAGUUUUAUGUACAGAAAUAGCAUUAGGAGGGACCUGGUUUGGCCCGUGGACUGUAGUUGGCUAAUCCCUGCUCCUGAGCCACCUUCCAUGGUAGGCACCACCAGUCCUCCUUGGUCUCCUUAGGGCUUUGGCCAUUUGUGCCUGCGUUUCUGUUUGUAAUUCACAGGCUGUAGGUAAAUUUCAUUGCCCUGCUCCACAUUUCCCACAAGAGGCACUCUGUGGGGAAACCCUAGCCUGCUAGUGCUGCUGUACCUGUAAAUUGCACCAUCCCCAGGCCCCAGUGGUUCUCUUGCAGUUACUGCAGAGAGACGCACAUAUGCGCUAGGAGGCCUGUUUAGGGUGGUGACCUGCUAAAUGAGGCACCUCCAGUACCAUGGAGUAUUGGCAGCAGUUAAAAAGGACAAGAUGGGCAUAUAUUUUGUAACCCCGGGUUGUCAGAACAUAUCGUUUAACAGAAAGGAUGAUAGAUACAUUUGUACGAUGAUUUUUUUUAAUGUUAGAAAUGUAUUUUUGUCCUAUCUUUUUAUGAGGGGAGGGCCACGUGUGAAUGCGUAAAGGUCUGAUGGUAUCUGUAUGAAACUAAGAAGAACCGUCCAUUCUGGGAGGGUGGGUGGGAAGGGGCCUGGGACGGGGGCUGGUGGACUUUAGCCUAAACGGUCCUCGUUCCAAUUUUCCCAAGGAGAAUGCGUUUGUGUAUUACUCUUGUAAUUAAAAUGGAAGAACAGCAAAAAAGAGCCGCUCAGCUUCAUCUCUCUUCGUAAUCUCCACCGGCCUUCCCUGGGGCCAUCCCAAGUAAAGCUGCACCCGAGGAAGCGCAGUGUGCUUGCUGGGAAGGUGCCCCCAUGCCCCCGUGGCCUUCGAGACUGUUGCUGGGGCACCUAAGUCCUGCACCUUCCUUGGGUGAUAAGGACACAACCCAGAGAGUGGAAGGUGGGAGGGCACGUGAAUGUGGGAUGACCACCUCACCUCUGAUGACUUUGAGGCCGGGGGCUUUUCUGUCUGUGCCCUGCUGCCUGUCAGUUGGGUGGUCUGCUCACUUCCCCUCAGGGUUAUUUUUUGGUCGGCCUUUUCUUGCAGUUCAGGAAAAUGCAGGCAAGGUCUGCCUUGGACGUUGCUCAGGGCAUUAGGCAGCUGAUAGGCCAGGGGAGGGCUUUGGGGUAAAUAGUUAUUAUAGGAAAAUAUAAUGGGCAUAGAUGGGUUAUUUAUUCAUUAUUUAAGGGUCCAUCAGUCCAUGUCCUUGCUAAUGGCUCUGCCAU